GUGCACCGGUGGUGCUCUGGGGGGACUCCCCCCAGGUGGAGCAGCCGGUGACGAGGCCACCCUGUCUCCUCCUUGAACCUCAGGGUCUUUCGGGGGCUCCACGUCCCUGGGUGGAGGAGCGUCCUUCAUGGAGGCCUUCAGCUGGACUCCGUUUAAGUGAACUUCGACCUCCUGCGUCUCCCUUAGUCGCUUCGAGCGUCUCGGCAUCUUCUUCUUGUCGGAAAUAAUGGUGGAACAGUAGCUUAAAACUAACGUUCCCACAGACGGCGCCAAACUGUUGACGGUAAGAACUCGUCAACGAAGUUAAGUUGGAAAAAUUAUCAAAUUGAAAUUGCUAAUUCGGAAGCUAUGAAAACUUGAACAAUGACUCAAGAACAAUGGAAUAACAGCAAUGGAGAAUUCAGUAUCUCAUUCACACUAAUGUCUCUGCUACAGUAAAAUUUCCAACCCCCUCUCAGGUGGCCUUCGAAUUCAAUUUAUAGUAGGCUCUAACGGCCUUAGGUACAUAGUGGUCCAGGGGACCAAGAGGUACAAACGUACUGUACUAGGGAAGUGGCUUCAGAGGUUGUGGCUGUACAUCCCGUACAGGGGCAGGUGUCAGGAGGAUGUCUCCACUACUUGUCUGUACCCCUUCCUGAGGCGUGGUAGCAGGCGUGUUGGCGCAGGAGGUAGUGGUGUCGGCUCUGACCUAUGACCGUAGACGUACGGACCACGAUCCUCACUGGUACUGGCAUCCGUACCUGGUACCUGGUCGUACAAACAUGUCUCCUUUGACUCACACUAAGCAUAGGGACUUUGAAGUGUGAAAAAGGGGAUCUUCGGUGUCCGUAUUGGCCGUGGCGUUGAAUAGGGGUCUUGGGCCCAUACACGUUAAGUCAUGGGGCGUCGGCCUCCUGAGAAGAUUAUGGGCUGAUGGACCUCCCGGGGCGUGCGCGCGCGAGACCUUGCACGGCCUUGCGCAUGGGGCGCCGUAGACGGCCCCGUGGCCCCCCCAUGGCCUUGCGCAUGGGGCGCCUUAGACGGCCUCGCGACCCCCUUAUGGCCUCGCGCAUGGGGCGCCUUAGAUGGCCUCGCGACCCCCUCUUGGCCUCGCGCACGGGGCGCCUUAGACGGCCUCGCGACCCCCUUAUGGCCUCGCGCAUGGGGCGCCGUAGACGGCCUCGCGGCCCCUCUUGGCCUCGCGCAUGGGGCGCCGUAGUCGGCCUCGCGGCCCCUCUUGGCCUCGCGCAUGGGACGCCUUAGACGGCCUUAUAUUUUCUCUUGAUGAGAUUAUGAGCAUCAACAAUGGUCAAGGGGUUGCAAAGGUUCCAAGGGAGCAAGGACCAAGAACAUUAACAGACUAUGUACUUCUUACUGUUAUAGGAGUGCAUUAAUGCAUCAAACCUCCAACCAUUGCUACAAACAAUUUUGAGAUUAAGCCAGCAAUCCUUCAAAUGGUCCAAUCAACAGUUCAGUUUGGAGGUAUGCCAACGGAGGACCCCAAUUUACACAUAGCUAAUUUUCUGGAGUUAUGUGCUACGUUCGAGAUGAAUGGGAUGAGCGAUGAUGCUAUAACAUUGAGGCGAAUUCUAUGACUACAUGGGAGGAGUUAGCUCAAAAGUUCCUUGCCAAGUUCUUUCCUCCAUCGAAGGCUGCAAAACUAAGGGGAGAGAUCAAUAAUUUUUACUAGAUGGAAGGAGAGUCCACUACACCAAAUACUCAUUUCCAUAACACAUGAAUAUAAUACUAAUAAAAAAGUAUUAUGCUAGAGUACUUAUAUUAGAGCACUUUAUGAAAAAACUGGUGGUAAUAAUAAAACCAUCCCGCCACUUAGCUUUUUUUUUCAUUUCAUUUGGGGCCAAUUCAUUUCCUUCAAUUCCUUCUCCUUUUUCCUCAUCAUUCUCUCUCCUCUCUCUCGGAUCUCUUUCUUCCACCAGACCUCUCUCCUUCACUCUUUCUCUCCAACCUUUGUCUUUGUGGAGACCGACCGCUACCUUCCCCUAAACGCGCGAGCUAGGGAUCUUCAAAGGCCGUCGAAGCUUCGACCAUGUGGGCCCAAGCCCUCACACGACACCAGCGGCGAAUGACGUCACCAGAGGCCAGCUCUUCUCCUCUUCCUUGUGUGCGGCCAAGCCUUCUUCUUCCCUGCGUGAGACACUUGAUUUUUCUCAUGAUAGGUUAGAACAGGAUGCUGUGCUUCUUGAAGAUGCUAGACAAGCUACCAAGUCAGGAGAAAAGAUGAAUAGAGAACAGUAUGGAGCUCUCAGAAGGAAAAUUGGAUUCCAGUGUGGCGGACCUCGAGAGAGAAGCUUACCCUGUUUUGGACGAACUGGGUAGAAAUAGAGGACGCUAACAUCUAUUCUCUUGACAGAUUAGUGGGCAGUUAAAAUCCUUGCAAAUUGUUGCACGCUUGACAGCAUAAAGAAAUGGUGAAAUUAGAAAAGCUGCUUUGAAUACUCUUGCCACUGGAUAUAAGAUUCUUGGUGAGGAUAUAUGGAGGUAUGUUGGGAAGCUAAUAGAUGCUCAAAAAAGCAUGUUGGAUGAUAGGUUUAAAUGGAAGGUUCGAGAGAUGGAAAAAAGGAAGGAAGGGAAGCCUGGCGAAGCCAGAGCUGCUUUGAGACGUUCUGUGAGGGAAAUUGGAUUGGAUGUAGCAGAGAAAAGUGGAGAGGUUACACGAUCUGUCUCUGGCCCAGUACUUCCAAGGUAUUAGAGGCUCCGCAUAGUGAUCAUUUAAUUGUUUGUUUUUAAUUUUUUAACAAGUUAUACAAAUUUUACUCAGACAUUUCCAUCACAUCUGUUGGCUUCAUUGCUAAUUUCUUUUAUUCUAUGAUGUUGGUAUCAUGAAAAACUAUGGGAAUGCUGACAUACAUGUGGAGAGACAACUUAUGCCCCGUGUUCUUGCUGGUACCAAUGGCCCCACUGAUUGGAAUGAAGCUUUGGAUAUUAUUUCUUUUGGUUCUCCUGAGCAGUCUAUUGAAGGAAUGAAAGUCGUGUGUCAUGAGCUGACACAAGCCACUAAUGAUCCAGAAGGCAAUGCAAUGGAUGAACUUAUUAAAGAUGCAGACAGACUUGUUUCAUGCCUUGCAAACAAGGUUGCCAAGACCUUUGAUUUCAGCUUGACAGGAGCAUCAUCUAGAUCUUGUAAAUCUGUUCUCAACACCCUCAUGCAGACAUUUCAAAACAAGAGACUGGCUUAUGCUGUCAAGGAAAGCACUAUUGAUAGUCUAAUUACUGAGCUCAAUCUAUGACUGUUGGAUGAGAGAGUUCCACAUAUGGAUGAUGGCAGCCAUCUUUUAAAAGCUUUGAGUGUUCUGAUGCUAAAUUUUCUGGAUAAUGCAGAUCGAACUUCAUCCUUUGUUGUUCUCAUCAAUCUCUUACGUCCAUUAGAUCCUUCAAGGUGGCCCUCACCUGCAUCAAAUGAGACAUUUGCUGUCAGAAAUCAGAAGUUCUCUAAUAUGGUUGUUAAAUGUUUGAUAAAACUUACAAAGGUUCUUCAAAGCACUAUUUAUGAAGUCGACCUUGAUCGCAUCCUUCAAAGCAUCCAUUUGUAUCUGCAAGACUUGGGGAUGGAAGAAAUUAGAAGACGGCAAUUUAUGAAAUUAUUGAAACCUGUCGUUCUCAUUUGAUAAUGCCCAAGUGCUUAUCUCCAAUUACUCAACAUGCCACAUGUUGACUUUGGAUUAAAAGUACUUGGUGCAAAUGCUAUGUCCAUUCCUGGCCUAUAUGGGUUUGUCCAGGAAAUGAUUAAAGAUCAAGUUGCAAACAUGUAUUUAUGGCUCAAAUAACUAGAAGUACAAAGUAUGGAUCCAACAAAGUAACGAUCUGAGCCCAAGGUAAGGCAUCUAGGACACUUAGCUGGUGGUGCUUUAACCAAUGCAUUGGGUGCUGGAAGAAAAUGUUUGGACUAUUAGGUACUGGUGUAGUGCUAUGAAUGUAUGCCCUGCCCUUAUUGUUGAGACAAGCAAUGCUUCUGAUCUCCAUGGAUAUACUGUUAGGGCUUUAUACAGGGAAUUCUAACAUCAUCUGAACAGGCUGAUAUGACCAUGUUAGAAGACGAACUACCAACAAAAAGAUGACUUUCAUCAGCUCUUGUCAAGGUGUAUUGAGAUGAUUUCUUUGGAGCAAUUCUUGACAACAUCUGUAGUUGAGGCCUUUAGAAUGAAAGAAUGUAUUUCACUAAUUUUUGUAUACAUUUCUUGUUUUGUAUUUAGUGAUAAAAGAAUCUGAAUUGGGCAUAAAUUAUGUUGUAAUAUGAUUUCUUAAGCCUAGACUAGUAGACUAAAUAUUGUAAUUACAUUUGAGUAAUUAAUAAAAA
Long non-coding RNA from Humulus lupulus (European hop), 4294 nucleotides. RefSeq lists it as uncharacterized. The transcript has 17 exons. The record is from RefSeq and is a predicted model, not a curated record. NCBI's taxonomy places the organism in Eukaryota, Viridiplantae, Streptophyta, Magnoliopsida, Rosales, Cannabaceae.